CACGUAGGGUGCGAGCGUUGUCCGGAAUUAUUGGGCGUAAAGAGCUCGUAGGCGGUGUGUCGCGUCGGCCGUGAAAACCUGCAGCUUAACUGUGGGCUUGCGGUCGAUACGGGCAUCACUGGAGUUCGGCAGGGGAGACUGGAAUUCCUGGUGUAGCGGUGAAAUGCGCAGAUAUCGAGAGGAACACCUGCGGCGAAGGCGGGUUGCUGGGCUGACACUGACGCUGAGGCGCGAAAGCCAGGGGAGCGAACGGG
RNAcentral lists this ribosomal RNA (254 nucleotides) under uncultured bacterium. RNAcentral's name for it is "partial 16S ribosomal RNA". It matches the Rfam family "Bacterial small subunit ribosomal RNA", at positions 524 to 776 of the family's 1533-position model. The record is from RNAcentral.